GAUGAAGAACGUAGCGAAAUGCGAUACGUAAUGUGAAUUGCAGAAUUCAGUGAAUCAUCGAAUCUUUGAACGCAUAUUGCGCUCUCUGGUAUUCCGGAGAGCAUGCUUGUUUGAGUAUCAGUAAACACCUCAACUUCCAUAUCUUUUUUGAAAUGGGAGUUGGACUUGAGUGAUCCCAACGCUUUUCCUCACCGAAAAGUGGCGGGUUACUUGAAAUGCAGGUGCAGCUGGACUUUUCUCUGAGCUAUAAGCAUAUCUAUUUAGUCUGCCUAAAAAACAGAUUAUUACCUUUGCUGCAGCUAACUUAAAGGAGAUUAGUUCUUGUGCUGACUGAUGCAGGAUUCACAAAGACGGCUUCGGCCGACUUUGUAAACUCGAUCUCAAAUCAAGUAAGACUACCCGCUGAACUUAAGCAUAUCAAUAAGCGGAGGA
This 432-nucleotide unclassified non-coding RNA is filed under the name soil metagenome. RNAcentral's name for it is "partial contains 5.8S ribosomal RNA, internal transcribed spacer 2, and large subunit ribosomal RNA". The stretch from base 1 to 120 matches the Rfam family "5.8S ribosomal RNA", at positions 35 to 154 of the family's 154-position model. The record is from RNAcentral.